UAGGGAAUCUUCCGCAAUGGGCGAAAGCCUGGCGGAGCAACGCCGCGUGAGUGAUGAAGGUCUUCGGAUCGUAAAACUCUGUUAUUAGGGAAGAACAAAUGUGUAAGUAACUAUGUACGUCUUGACGGUACCUAAUCAGAAAGCCACGGCUAACUACGUGCCAGCAGCCGCGGUAAUACGUAGGUGGCAAGCGUUAUCCGGAAUUAUUGGGUGUAAAGCGCGCGUAGGCGGUUUUUUAAGUCUGAUGUGAAAGCCCACGGCUCAACCGUGGAGGGUCAUUGGAAACUGGAAAACUUGAGUGCAGAAGAGGAAAGUGGAAUUCCAUGUGUAGCGGUGAAAUGCGCGAGGAUAUGGAGGAACACCAGUGGCGAAGGCGACUUUCUAGUCUGUAACUGACGCUGAUGUGCGAAAGCGUGGGGAUCAAACAGG
Molecule: ribosomal RNA, 429 nt
Filed under: Actinomycetes bacterium
Lineage: Bacteria; Bacillati; Actinomycetota; Actinomycetes
Description: Actinobacteria bacterium partial 16S ribosomal RNA
Rfam family: Bacterial small subunit ribosomal RNA
Source: RNAcentral